CACCUUGAAAUCCAAGUGUACCCAUCCACCACCCGCAGCCGCCAGCACCUCUCUCCUCAGCCACGCGGGUCCGCCAGCCCCGAAUCGAGCCCACCUGGGCGUGGAACCUCGCCGCCGCCCGUGGUCCCCAUUGCCCGAGCCCCGCUCUAGCUGCUGCCCUACACCCGAUUCUCCCCGAGCAUCUGCCUCGCCGGACCAUCGCGAGUGGGUCGCGGGACGCCGCCCCUCUGGGUCGCCGGACCUCCCUUGACCUGUCCUCUCUUCCCUUCUAUUCCUUCUCCCUCUCUUUAAUCUCUCAUCUCCCUCCCCAUGGCUAGGAACAGCCAUGCAUCCGCAGCCGCCAUGGAGUCCGCCACCGCCCAUUAUGCACCGCGGAUGCCCGGAUCUGGUGCAGGACGGCCAGAUGUGCAUGUUCCCGGCCUCGCCGUACCCUACUGUUGCCUUGCCGCAUCGUCUCCUUCCGGUGAAGCCGCCUUGACUGCCGGCCAGCUCCCUGUGCCAAGCGCGCGUUGACCGAGCACUCACUCGAUUUGGUUGAGCAACGCUCUUGCACGCGUGGGCCGUCGCGUGAUCUGGCCUAGCCCCAGCACCAUUCUGCCAAGGCCGAGCCGCCACAGCCGGCUUGCCUGCAACAGCGCCAGAUCCGCCGGGCCUCGCCCUUCUGGUGAGCGCCCGAGCACCGCUAAAUUGUGCCCUCGGCAUAGUAUAGUUAUGAUGCUCCCAUGCCGUGUUUCAGCCCUGCUGUAAAUUUGGCCCAAUGCAUGUUUUUUUGAGUCCCACGAAUUUCCUAAUUAACAAGUGCAUUAAUAAUUAUAGAAAAUGCAUGAUUUUAAAAUGUCAAUAACUAAAUAACCGGGCAUUGGAUUUUUUGUAGAUUAAUAAUAUUCAACUUUCACACCUGUUAAAAAAGUUUAAACCUCUCGUUUGCAUUAAUUUGUGCUUUACAUGGUUUUGGAAUUUGCAUGCAUAAUGUGUUCAUCUACCAGCUCAAAUCUCUUUCGCAAGUGCAUUAUGAACUGUUAUUUCAUUCAAUCUUGUGUGGAUGAUUCCAACUAACCCGUAGACCUUUUGCAUGUGGAUCCUUCUGAGAUUUCUUCUAUGUGUUGUCUACUAUGAUGCCAUCCCUAUGGUUACCAUGUAGACUAUCAUGAGUUUGUUCGUUUGUUGCUAUCAAAGUGCUAUCAUGUUGAAACUAUGAAUCUUUUUCGUAAAGUUACAUUUUCUGAAGCUCAUUUUAACCAAACCAUGUCUCUUUUGAAUGUGUGCAAUGAACUGAUUUGUUGUAUGCCAUGCCUAGUUACUGUUUGCAGGGUUAAAAUAAUUCUAAGUCUGAGAAUCUUAUUAUUUUAGAAUGCUAUGUUGUAUUGAUGCUAGCUAUGAUUGUGUGCAUAAUUAGACCUUGCUAGUAUGGAAUGAAAUGAAGUGCGUAAUGCCUACUAACAUGUUGUAAAUUUUCAGGCUAUUAUAUGACCUGUAGCAUGUAUUUUCCUUGUUGUCACUAUGCCCUCAUGACAAAAACUGCACUGUGAAAACUGAUAAUUUCACUAAGUCUGAAACUGUGCUUAAGUAGCCAUUUUGUGAGCUCAUUUUCUAGAGAUCCAUGCUUAUAUUCAAUUUUCCGUUAGGAGAUGAUUGUUGCGCAUCUUGUCAACUACUGCCCCAUAUCUUAUUUGUGCAAUUUAGAAUCCUGUAGGUGGCUGUUUUGGUGUGUAUGAAAUGCCAUGUUGCUGUUUUGGGUAAAUUAUCACUAUAUCUUGUAUUGGAUAUAUUUCUAGGACCAUUGCUUUGUUUUGAACAUGCCAUAUAUGAAAUUUUCUUAGAAUUUCAUGAAGUUUCAUAACAUCUUCCUGCAUCCAUGAUUUAACAUGCUUGUGGGUGCCAUUUGCAUACAUUUUGCAUUCAUGGCAUAUUAUCUUGUGUUGGUCCUAUCUUUUAAAACGUAACUCCAUUUUAGAUUAUCCAUAUAUCUUUUAGUCAUAGUAAAUUUAGGACCACGUGGCACCUCGGUUUUCGGGCCAAGUAAAUAUCCAUAAAGAUAUGUUGUGAUGUCAUCAUUAUUUUCCUCGAUGAUAGGGGAGUGAUGUCAUGGAUCAAACAAAGAAAAGCAUGAGUCCAGAAGCAUUAAGAGUCGUUUUGUAACCCGGAGAAGAGGGAUAUGUGACCAGAAGAAGAUGAGCCGCCAAAUUAAGGUGGUGGAGAUUGACAUGAAUAAAUUCAAAUAAACCUGGAGGCUGUUGUUGGGGAUAUAACCCCAUGAUAUAACCCGCCUUAAUGGGCCGGGUCACCAGAUGUCGACUUAAAGGCGGAACGCUGGAUAGGCAAGUACGUGAAGAGUCAAGGCCGACAGGACGGCUUAUCCACUAAGCCGCCCGGCGGCCCAAUAUAUGAAGACGGUGACGCAGUGCGCAAGAGGUGGAAGGUCGCCCAGAGUUUCCUUGCUCACGAGGCAAGGCGAGUUAGAAGCAUAGCCGAUCACGAAUCGUAUCAUGACUCAGAUCCUUGUAAGCCCAGGGCCUCGACUUGUAUAUAAAGACGAGUCCCUCAGGCUAAUAGACUUAAGUUGUAAUCGAUCAAUAGCUAGGUCAAGAGAAUCUGCUCCCUUGUAAUUCAUCUCCAAGAAGUACACACAAAGAAGGACGUAGGCGUUUACCUUGAA
Molecule: long non-coding RNA, 2656 nt
Filed under: Hordeum vulgare
Lineage: Eukaryota; Viridiplantae; Streptophyta; Magnoliopsida; Poales; Poaceae
Description: long non-coding RNA (HVUL_LNC010069)
Source: RNAcentral